Molecule: transfer RNA, 67 nt
Filed under: Paridea biplagiata
Lineage: Eukaryota; Metazoa; Arthropoda; Insecta; Coleoptera; Chrysomelidae
Description: tRNA-Gln
Source: RNAcentral
UAUAUUUUAAUUUAUAAAGUACGUUAAUUUUUGAAAUUAAAAGAUAGUUCAGUCUUAUUAAAUGUAU